This 3892-nucleotide long non-coding RNA is filed under the name Triticum aestivum (bread wheat). RNAcentral's name for it is "long non-coding RNA (TAES_LNC026721)". Lineage: Eukaryota; Viridiplantae; Streptophyta; Magnoliopsida; Poales; Poaceae. The record is from RNAcentral.
UCAGAGCAAUAAUCCAGAGGGGACGCACCAUUGGCACGGUAAGCAGCAACUUCUUCGUGACUACUAGUACUAUCAAGUUGCAGCAUUACAUGGUCACAGCAGUAGCAUAGAUGAUACGUGCUUGGCACGGUGGAUCUUUCAUUCCAUGAGCCUCAUGUACAAAUACGCUUUCUGUGUAUGCACAUCAGUAUUCGUGCAAUAAAAACACACUGGAAUUUUUCUCUCCAACACACGCCCAAAGGCGUGUCGCUUGUGUUAAGUGUAUUAGAAUGAGAAUUGAGAACACCAGUAUGCCCGCAACGUAUACAAAACAAAACCAGCCAACAAAAGAAGUAGGGAAAAAAAACUAAGCUAACCAAGCCUAAAAGCUAGUAUCAAAAACAGAGGAAAGAGAAGCAAAGCCGUAGGCUACAGACAGCUUAAGGCAGGGCUUGUGGCUACACUGGAAAUUGGGAGAACUAAAAAGCACUUCUGAUUUCUAAUUGUUCUGUCUUAGUUAUUCCCUACUCCUAAAAUGUACUCCAUCCGUAAACUAAUAUAAGAGUGUUUAGAUAACUAAAAUAGUGAUCUAAACACUCUUAUAUUAGUUUACAGAGGGAGUAUUUUAAUUCAGUCUAUCCAUUUCUCUGCCUUUAUUGGAGCUAGGCGCCCUAGCAGCAUUUGUAACAUAGCUGUUAGUUUCAACUGGAAUAACUUGAAACAGACCUGCAUCACAGAGAGAAACUGAACAAACUGUAGAAUAAAUAAGUUAUUCUGCUGUAAAACAAGAAGGUUCAUAAUAUUAAAACAUUUUACAGGUAAAAUUAACUCAACAUAAGCGGCUUCAGAUUGUAAUAAUUUGGAAAGAUACAACAGACAAGUCUUUCACUCAUUUCAUUUAGCACCUGAUAAUCAAAUUGUCUGUCUUCUCGGGAUUGACUCAUUUCACCUUGGACCCGAUACAUCUGAGGCUACAGGUGGAGCUGAAGAGUUCACAUUUCCAGCAAUACUGAAAUUUGGUUCAUUUGUUGCGACAAAGUUAUGAUCUAUGUUGCUCUCUGCAUCCAUGGUACCUUCCAAGACUUUGACUACCUCGGACAUUUUAGGCCUUUUUUUGCAGUCAAUCUGCAAACACCACAUCGCUAGCUUCAUCAUCUGGAUUACAUCUCGCUCGUGUGCUUGCAUGUCAUUACUGCUCUUGUCAAUCAAAUCUUCCAACUGAUUCUUCUCCACCUUUUCUUCCAAUAGGGUAAUAAGAUGGAUGCUCUCUUCAGACAGGGAAGUGUCGAGGUUCUUUCUUCCGCUCACGAUUUCCAUGACCACAACGCCAAAGCUAUAGACAUCGGCCUUCUCCGUGAUUUGUGAUGUCAACCAUUCAGGGGCGAGAUAUCCAGGUGUGCCUCUCAUUCUUGUAAUCACUUGGCUCAUAUCCCUAUCAAUGAGCUUGCAUAGACCAAAAUCAGAGAGUUUAGCAUUGAAGUCGUCAUCUAAGAGGAUGUUUUGUGGUUUGACAUCCAAAUGAGCAAUUCUCUUCAUGCAAUCCUCGUGAAGAUAAGAUAGACCCUUAGCUAUGUCAGUGAUAAUCUUGCAUCGCACCCUCCAUUCUAACGGAGGAGCACUAUUUUCAUGUCGACCAUAGAUCCACCUGUCCAAGGAUCCUUUUGGCAUAUACUCAUAAACCAAGAGCCUAUGGGAUUUCUCUGCACAGAAACCAAACAGCCUCACCAGAUUGAUAUGAUGAAUGCUGCCGAUUGUCUGAACCUCCGCCAAGAAUUCUCUCUUCCCCUGACCAGCUCGAUCCAAACGUUUUACCGCAAUCCUUUCCUCGCCUAGCUGCCCCUCGAAAACAGACCCAAAUCCUCCUUCCCCGAGCUUGUCCUUGAAUUGCUCUGUUGCUGCUUCUAACUGUUGAAACGUAAACCUCAUUGGCGUUCCUUGUAGCUGACUGAAGUCUGCCUCCUCUUCCUCCAUCUCCUGGUGUCGUCGUGUUCUUCUUCGACGUAUGAUGAAAAAGAUGAAUGUGAUAAUUAAAACUAUGGCACCUGCAAUUGCAACUGAAACAAAAAUGCCUACUGAGGGUCCUUUGCGUAGUGGCCUAAGAUCAGCUGAGUUAGGAGGACUUGGAGGUGAAGACGUUAGAUUGAUUGGUGGGCAAAAGAUGACCUGGUAGUUGGUAUCCAAUGGACAACUGAAUGAAGUUUCCGUGACAGCAUCACUGGAGUAACUUAUUGCCUCCGGGCACAUCCGCACAAAGAAGGCCGAGUAUUUGUUGGAUUCACAGGGUGUCAUAGAGCAGCAGUACAAAUUGGACUGAGUUUUGAACACAUCGCAUGCGCUGUUGCAGCCUCCCGGCACCUUGAGCUCGCUCGGACACUGUGACGUGAUGUUGGCCCCACACUGCGGCCCCUUUGUGCACCCUGAUCCCCCUUGCCCCUUGACCGGCAUUGGCAAGAACUCCAUUGGUACGUUGAAGCCCUGGUAGAGGGAGAUACCGAAGAAACUGUUGUUGUUAUACUGGUUGAGCGAGAAUUGAGCAGACGUGAUGGGUGCCUGGCCAUAUGUCUUGCAGGCGAGCAAGCCUUCGCAGUCGCCUGUCUGGCAUGACCCAUUGCCUUUGCCGUCAAACGAGCAGCCUGUGCGCGCCCACACACUUCCUCCACGGGUGUCAGAAGGCACCUGGAGGGUCCAUGUCUUCCCUGAGUCCAGCCGCAUGCCGCCACCCUCCGGCAGAGCGGCCGGCCAUACAGUGUAUGGGCAUUGGUUGGUGAUGUUGACUAUGGUUUGGGUGGUGACGAAUGGCAGGAGCAGGAGGCGGAGCAAGAGGAGGAGGGGAGGUGGGUGGUGGAGACUCAGGGAGGAGGUACCCAUAACUGCCAUCUGUGUCAGUCUGGUAAUAUGACCCCUCUUGGAUGAGAUGAUAAAGGAGGGAUGGAAUGGAGGUCUAGAUCAGUGUAUACUUGUAUGAUAUCUGCAUGUUGAAAAUGUUCAACGGUCUACGGUCAACAGCGUAUGGCCUAACUCACUGUUAGCUGUCCUCCGAUACAAACAGUUUGACAGGCCAACGACUUGAUUGCUGCUUGUGUUAGAUGUUUACUUCUUAGCUCCUUUCAAGCUCUUGUUGAACAUCCUUACCAAGUUACCAUACAUGCAAACUGUUGACAAUACAUAUUUUUUGCUUACGACAGCGCGAACAUAUCGUCGACAUAUUUUUUUUGUGAAAGAAAGCUUUUACUGUAUUACUCAAUGAUAUAUUUUUGCUUCAGGUGUUCAUUCCUGGUCUAAUCUGAUGCAUAUGCUCAUGCUGCGUCAGCCAGAUCACCUGUAACACUGGACCCUGGAGGGGCACUGGGGGCAGCAACGCGAAGGCUAUAAUCUGUGGGGUCGAGAUCACUAUGGAACAGGAUCAUGGGGGCCGGCGAGCUGAGCUUGGUCAGCGGCAGCGGCAGCUGCGUCGAAGCAGCUUGAGGAGUGGAGGUCAACAAUGGCGGCAACUCUUGGGUGGUGGGCAGAAGGCCUCGUGCAUUAUUUUUGUGGUUGGGAUGUUGGCACUUGGCACGUCAUAUUCAACCAAUCUAUCUCGAUUACAAGUUGUCAUGUAAUCCAAGCUUUUUGGAAGUGAAAGAUGUGGAGGAAUGGAGCUCAUCAAGGCCACAAAAGAAAGCAUGUUGUAGAUCACCAUUCAGCAGCCCGUUCGUUGGGGAUAAUAGUCUCUCUUCGCGACUAUUUUUAUCUGGAGCAUGCUUACACUCAAACAUAAAUUAUGUCAUGGAUGCUGUAUAAAAAAACUCAUUGGGAACGGUGGAAUGAAAUUCAGCAACAACUGAUAUUCAGAGGAAAGGAAAACUAAGAACCUGAAACAAAAACGGUUCAAAUGAUUUGAAGUACUGUCAUUUCAUGAAAAUAGUAAUUGUAU